GGAUGCAAGUGUUAUCCGGAAUCACUGGGCGUAAAGAGUCUGAAGGUGGUCAAAUAAGUCCACUGUUAAAUCUUGAGGCUUAACCUCAAAAUCGCAGUCGAAACUAUUAGACUAGAGUAUAGUAGGGGUAAAGGGAAUUUCCAGUGGAGCGGUGAAAUGCGUAGAGAUUGGAAAGAACACCGAUGGCGAAGGCACUUUACUGGGCUAUUACUAACACUCAGAGACGAAAGCUAGGGUAGCAAAUGGG
Molecule: ribosomal RNA, 247 nt
Filed under: uncultured bacterium
Lineage: Bacteria
Description: partial 16S ribosomal RNA
Rfam family: Bacterial small subunit ribosomal RNA
Source: RNAcentral